RNAcentral lists this ribosomal RNA (244 nucleotides) under uncultured Eubacteriales bacterium. RNAcentral's name for it is "uncultured Clostridiales bacterium partial 16S ribosomal RNA". It matches the Rfam family "Bacterial small subunit ribosomal RNA", at positions 796 to 1041 of the family's 1533-position model. The record is from RNAcentral. Lineage: Bacteria; Bacillati; Bacillota; Clostridia; Eubacteriales.
CACGCCGUAAACGCUGAUUACUAGGUGUUGGGGGUCAAACCUCGGUGCCGAAGUUAACACAUUAAGCAUUCCGCCUGGGGAGUACGGUGGCAACACUGAAACUCAAAGGAAUUGACGGGGACCCGCACAAGCAGCGGAGCAUGUGGUUUAAUUCGAUGCAACGCGAAGAACCUUACCAGGGCUUGACAUAUAUGCGCUAGCACUAGAGAUAGUGGGUUCUCUUCGGAGACGUAUAUACAGGUGG